This is an RNA transcript of Grus americana (Whooping crane), 4185 nucleotides long. It is a transcript of the gene named TatD DNase domain containing 3, with no coding region annotated. The transcript has 13 exons. The record is from RefSeq and is a predicted model, not a curated record. Lineage: Eukaryota; Metazoa; Chordata; Aves; Gruiformes; Gruidae.
GGCGGCAACAACGGCGGCGCCGCGCCAGCCGCCAUUUCCCGCCUUGAAAUCAGGGAAAAUGCCGGCCCGGAAGCGAAACCCGUGGCCUCCCCGCCUCUUCCUCUCAGCCCCGGGCGCGGCAUGGCGGCGGCGGGGCCGGUGGAUUGCCACUGCCACCUUGCCGCGCCCUGCUUCCAGGCGGACGUGGCGGCGGUGGUGCGGGCGGCGGAGCAGGCAGCCGUGUCGGCGCUGGUGGUGGUGUCGGAGCAGGCGGGGGAGUUCCGGAGCGUCGUGGCGCUGUCGGAGAGGUUCCCAGGGUUUGUUUUGCCGUGCCUGGGAGUUCACCCGGUUCAAGAGGUUUCGCCGGAGGAGCAACGCAGUGUUACUUUGAAGGAUCUGGAUGCUGCAUUGCCGCUUAUAGAACUCUACAAAGAUAAAUUGGUGGGGAUCGGAGAAGUUGGACUAGAUUUCACUCCCAGAUUUGCCAGCACGGAUGAAGAGAAGGAAGGACAAAGACAGGUUUUGAUCAAGCAGAUUGAGUUAGCAAGGAGACUGGAUUUGCCUUUAAAUGUUCAUUCCCGCUCAGCUGGAAGACCAACAAUUAAUCUCUUAAAGGAACAAGGUGCUACAAAGGUGUUGCUCCAUGCAUUUGAUGGGAAGCCAUCCGUAGCGAUGGAAGGGGUAAAAGCUGGAUAUUACUUCUCCAUUCCUCCUUCCAUUAUAAGGAGUGACCAGAAGCAGAAACUUGUGAAACUGUUACCUCUGGAAAGUAUGUGCUUAGAAACUGACUCUCCUGCUCUGGGGCCUGAAAAACAGACUGGAAGUCACUCGGUCAUGGGCCCACUCGUGCAGACUGCACAUCCCUUUCUGAGCCUUUACAAAAACCCAGCUGGACAGACAUUGUCUGUACGUCACGUUGACUGAGCUCUCACCUGUGUGGAUAUGGGCCUGUUGCAAUACUGAGCAAAACUUUGCUGAUUAUCAAACAGCAAUGAACGAGGUGAGUAAUACAUGACACAAUUGUUCUGAGGGCCCAUGGGGAAGCAGAGGCUUUGUCUCCCUAGGGGGAGUUUUACUAGCUCAGAGAAGAAAAUACACAAGUAUUAACUUAGUCCUUGACCACCUCAGGUACAUAAUCACGCAUCAUACCAGCUCGUGGUGAGAGCAUUUGGCUUUAAGAUUUGAGCAUGUCUCUUCUAUAUCAUUUUUCAGAUUAGACUCUUUCCUGUCUUGAUGGCUAGAGCAUCUUACCAGUUGCCCCUUUGGAAGAUGGUUUGUAGUGCCUUACUCUGAAUUCAUCCGAUGUCUGCUUUUUCAGGUGAAGGACUGCAAGCCAAGGGCUUGGGUGUUUUUCCUGUCUUGAGGAUGCAGAUGGAGAAGGUAUCAGCUCCCAGAAAGUUUAAAAAAAAAAAGGGGGAGCAAAAUCUUGUAGUGUGAUACCCAUCUUAAACUUUUGGUUUCCUCUACAUUUUCUUCCUCAAUUUCUUAAAACCAUAUUGUCAAGAGAGGUUUGUUUUGGGGUUUUUUUUUGCUAUCUUUAGCAGAACAGCUGUGGUGUUCUGCUUUUUGCCUAGAGUUAGUGUAUUAAGUUUAAACAUACAUUCCUAAACAGUUUUCAGCCUGCAGCAGUCAAGCAAACUUGAAUAAUUUGUUUACUACAAUGCGUAUUCAGAUCAGCAAACAUCUGAAUCUUUGCUGAAUGUUUCACCCAAAGUAGUUAGAGCCAUUUGUUAUCCUGGAUCUACAGGCUGAAUUUCCACAACACUGGGUGAAGGACAGAGUUUGCCUCAAGAUGGUGCUAGGGAACAGGCUGGGGUUCGAGCUUCUGUUCCCAUUACAGAGCAGGAAAAUGAAUUUGAGAGAGUCACUGGCUUAGCAGAAAGGGCUGUGAUCUGAAGAGCAAACAACUUCUGCAACGGCACUUGGGUCCACAUCUCAUAUCAUCCCAAAGCGACGGUCAACAUCAAAAUAAAUGGAUUUUGUCUGCGAUGCCUGGGUGAGGUAAUAUGCCUGCACAUACUGCCUUCAAAGGUAGGCGAGGCGGCUUGGUGUCCAUGGUCGGUGGCUGCAAACAGACAAGCCCAGCCUGCCACGGCAGAGCACAGGCACCACGGCGUGGCUGAGCAAACCUUCAGCUUCCCAGCACAGGAGCGAGUACAGCCACCUGAAAAACCAUGAAGCAGCACUGAUGUGGGGGGAAGCAGGGCUACAUCCCCCUGUUUUCGAAGUGCAGGGGGUGAAUCAUGGAAGAAUCACAACAGCAGCAGUGUGAUCGAAUGGAUGAUGCCCCAGAGGUAUCACCUGGCAGGCAGCUGGGUCAGCGUACGGUCUGUGUCGGGGGCUGGCUGUUAAAGCCUGCCUGCAGAGGUGGGAGAGCUGUCUGUGCUCCCACCCUGCAUAGUCCCUGCUGAUGAAGCCCGCAGUGCUAAACAGCAGCAGAGCUGUGCCCUGUGGUACCGUGACAAGUGUCUUCUCCGCCUGCCACAAGGUCCCUGUGCUGCUGGCAUUUACUGCACCCAGGCCAUGCUUGCUGCCGGGGAGUGACAGCUGAUGUGCCCCUGCCUUCUCCUGCUCCCCAAAGGCAUCCUGACUCCAUCACAGCAUGUUUGGGGGUUCAUCCGAUUCAGAGCGGGGCAGACGGGCAGGGCAGCGCCAUGGUCCGGAUGAGGCGCAUGGCGCCUUCUCACAUGGAUUUUCUAUUUCUGUGACAGGGGGCGGACACUGAGUUUAACUUCUUUAAUAUGUGCAUAUUCAGAUUUUGUGUCUGUUAUUUCGGCUGUGCCCGGGCUGUAUGUUCUGUCACCAAAGAGUGCAAACAGACGCUUGAGUCCUUGCCGGUGCCCAGCUGCAGUAUAGAUAAAGUACAAGUGUCCCCCACUGACAGAAGACAAGUUAUCUCACAAGCAGCCACAACCAAUAAAGCUUUUCCCCCCCCCCAGGGAUUUGUGACCUCCUCACCACAGCAAUCCCAGUCUCCUUCUUGUGUACUGUGAUGCUCCCAUUACAGCCCAGCGCUCCCAGUGAUGCGUUUCCAGUUCCCUGUAUGUCUCCCUGAUCCCUACCAUGGUACCACCAGCUCCUCUGCGUACCCUCUGGGCUCUGCCUGCCACAGUACCUCGGCUUUCUUCUGCGUCCCUGUGGCCUCCCUGCAAUUUCUCAGCUCUCUUCCUCUCUUCCUGCCUGCGCUUGUUGGAUUGCCAUUUGGGCAAGAAAUGGCACGUGCUGAAAUUAGUCCAGAGCUGGGCAGGUAUAGCUGUCGGCGUCAGACUCAGCAGCUGGGUGUGUGCCUCCUCUCGGUAGCCCUGAGGGGGAUUGGAGAAGGUUGGUGUCAUCUACAUUGCCAACGACUCUCACAAACCUUGUAGGAACUUUGUACCUCCAAGAGCUCUGUCCAUCUGCCAAAUUUUGUUGACCGUUGUCAAAAAUGGUGAGUUGUGAGUGUGGGCCAGGUGACAGCAUGACUAUGUUAACUGAUUUCCGUGGGAAUGCGUAUAUGUCAGAUGCUGCGUCCCCCAGGUGGAAUUGGACCUGUUUCUUGGGACCUCCUAGGUCUGCUCAGCACAUGACCACUGGUGAACCCGUGAAAUGGAAAGGACCUGGAAUUAUCUAGCAGGAAGGUCUGUCUUUGUGAAGUGCACUGCCUGGAGAGGGCAACUUUGAAGUCCCGAUUGGCACUGGCUUAUUGCUAUAAAUAUAUAGAAAGAGCAUUUUUGUGCUCAAGACAUUUUUGGACACACAACAAAGGGGGAGGAAGCGAACAAAUGGAGCGAGCGCUGUGGGAAGAAGUUAAAUGGAGCACUAUGUGGGGAGCUGCAAUCAAAGCAUCACUAGGUAACUUCCUUUCUCUUUAGGGGUCAUUAUUCCUGCCUGGGAAAGUCAGGGUGGACCUCAUCUCUGUACUACACAAGACCUCUGUGCUGAGUUGAGGCAACGGCAAGCGCACAUGCAGCAGGCUAAUGUGGUACAUAACAUGCACGAGCAGAUGUCAGCACUCUCCAGAAUCAUCCCUUCUGCACUUCCAUUGAGUGCAGCACAUCCGUGGCCAAUCUGUAGCUGUGUGUGUGCGUGACCAUUUAUCCAAAGAGAUUGUUUCCUGAUCGGCACCUGGAGGCUGCUGUGGUUUCAGGAUGCUCAGAGCUUCCUCUUGGAGUCCUUAGGAUGCCCUUUUUUUGGAGAGGUGCAGCUACACACAGUCUUGCUUCCUCC